CAGCCGCCACGGUAAUACGUAGGGUGCGAGCGUUAAUCGGAAUUACUGGGCGUAAAGCGUGCGCAGGCGGUUAUAUAAGACAGAUGUGAAAUCCCCGGGCUUAACCUGGGAACUGCGCUUGUGACUGCACAGCUAGAGUAUGGCAGAGGGGGGUGGAAUUCCACGUGUAGCAGUGAAAUGCGUAGAGAUGUGGAGGAACACCGAUGGCGAAGGCAGCCCCCUGGGCCAACACUGACACUGAGGCACGAAAGCGUGGGGAGCAAACAGGAUUAGAUACCCGAGUAGUCCCUGUCUCUUAUAC
RNAcentral lists this ribosomal RNA (301 nucleotides) under uncultured bacterium. Its description in RNAcentral is "partial 16S ribosomal RNA". It matches the Rfam family "Bacterial small subunit ribosomal RNA", at positions 509 to 807 of the family's 1533-position model. The record is from RNAcentral.